UGGCGGCAUGCCUAACACAUGCAAGUCGCGCGGUCAGCAAUGGCAGCGGCGGACGGGUGCGUAACGCGUAGGAACGUGUCUAGAGGUGGGGGACAACCCUGGGAAACUGGGGCUAAUACCGCAUAUGGGCUGAGGCCCAAAGCCGUGAGGCGCCUUUGGAGCGGCCUGCGUCCGAUUAGCUAGUUGGUGGGGUAAAGGCCUACCAAGGCUCCGAUCGGUAGCUGGUCUGAGAGGACGAUCAGCCACACUGGGACUGAGACACGGCCCAGACUCCUACGGGAGGCAGCAGUGGGGAAUAUUGGACAAUGGGCGCAAGCCUGAUCCAGCAAUGCCGCGUGGGUGAAGAAGGUCUUCGGAUCGUAAAGCCCUUUCGACAGGGACGAUGAUGACGGUACCUGUAGAAGAAGCCCCGGCUAACUUCGUGCCAGCAGCCGCGGUAAUACGAAGGGGGCUAGCGUUGCUCGGAAUUACUGGGCGUAAAGGGCGCGUAGGCGGCUUAGUCAGUCAGGCGUGAAAUUCCUGGGCUUAACCUGGGGUCUGCGUUUGAGACGGCUAGGCUAGAGGGUAGGAGAGGGUCGUGGAAUUCCCAGUGUAGAGGUGAAAUUCGUAGAUAUUGGGAAGAACACCGGUGGCGAAGGCGGCGACCUGGCCUAUUACUGACGCUGAGGCGCGACAGCGUGGGGAGCAAACAGGAUUAGAUACCUGGUAGUCCACGCCGUAACGAUGUGCGCUGGAUGUUGGGGCCCAUAGGGUCUCAGUGUCGUAGCUAACGCGGUAAGCGCACCGCCUGGGGAGUACGG
RNAcentral lists this ribosomal RNA (800 nucleotides) under uncultured Alphaproteobacteria bacterium. RNAcentral describes it as "bacterial SSU rRNA". It matches the Rfam family "Bacterial small subunit ribosomal RNA", at positions 37 to 885 of the family's 1533-position model. Lineage: Bacteria; Pseudomonadati; Pseudomonadota; Alphaproteobacteria. The record is from RNAcentral.